GCCACUGUGGUGAAAUUGGUAUACACGCAGCACUCAAAAUGCUGUGGGGGCAACUCCAUGUCGGUUCGAGUCCGACCAGUGGCACAA
This 87-nucleotide transfer RNA is filed under the name Candidatus Moranbacteria bacterium CG_4_9_14_3_um_filter_36_9. RNAcentral's name for it is "tRNA-Leu". It matches the Rfam family "tRNA". From Rfam's summary of the family: Transfer RNA (tRNA) molecules are approximately 80 nucleotides in length. Their secondary structure includes four short double-helical elements and three loops (D, anti-codon, and T loops). Further hydrogen bonds mediate the characteristic L-shaped molecular structure. tRNAs have two regions of fundamental functional importance: the anti-codon, which is responsible for specific mRNA codon recognition, and the 3' end, to which the tRNAs corresponding amino acid is attached (by aminoacyl-tRNA synthetases). tRNAs cope with the degeneracy of the genetic code in two manners: having more than one tRNA (with a specific anti-codon) for a particular amino acid; and 'wobble' base-pairing, i.e. permitting non-standard base-pairing at the 3rd anti-codon position. RNAcentral also lists the same sequence under 1 other name. The record is from RNAcentral. Lineage: Bacteria; Candidatus Moraniibacteriota.